Molecule: ribosomal RNA, 512 nt
Filed under: uncultured bacterium
Lineage: Bacteria
Description: partial 16S ribosomal RNA
Rfam family: Bacterial small subunit ribosomal RNA
Source: RNAcentral
GACGAACGCUGGCGGCGUGCCUAAUACAUGCAAGUCGAGCGAGCGGAACUAACAGAUUUACUUCGGUAAUGAGGUGAGGAAAGCGAGCGGCGGAUGGGAGAGUAACACGUGGGGAACCUGCCCCAUAGUCUGGGAUAGCACUUGGAAACAGGUGCUAAUACCGGAUAAGAAAGCAGAGGGCAGGAUCAGCGUUUAAAAGGCGGCGUAAGCUGUCGCUAUGGGAUGGCCCGGCGGUGCAUUAGCUAGUUGGUAAGGUAAAGGCUUACCAAGGCGAUGAUGCAUAGACGAGUUGAGUGACUGAUCGGCCACCUGAGGACUGAGCCACGGCCCUAACUCCUACGGGAGGCAGCAGUAGGGAAUCUUCCACAAUAGACGCAAGUCUGAUGGAACAACGCCGCGUCAGUGACGACGGUUUUCGGAUCGUAAAGAUCUGUUGUUGGUGAAGAAGGAUAGAGGUAGUAACUGGCCUUUAUUUGACGGUAAUCAACCAGAAAGUCACGGCUAACUACGUG